GCCAGGGUGGCUCAGUCGGUUGAGCGUCCGACUUCGGCUCGGUCAUGAUCUCGCGGUUCGUGGGUUCGAGCCCCGCGUCGGGCU
RNAcentral lists this transfer RNA (84 nucleotides) under Felis catus (domestic cat). It matches the Rfam family "tRNA". Rfam says of the family: Transfer RNA (tRNA) molecules are approximately 80 nucleotides in length. Their secondary structure includes four short double-helical elements and three loops (D, anti-codon, and T loops). Further hydrogen bonds mediate the characteristic L-shaped molecular structure. tRNAs have two regions of fundamental functional importance: the anti-codon, which is responsible for specific mRNA codon recognition, and the 3' end, to which the tRNAs corresponding amino acid is attached (by aminoacyl-tRNA synthetases). tRNAs cope with the degeneracy of the genetic code in two manners: having more than one tRNA (with a specific anti-codon) for a particular amino acid; and 'wobble' base-pairing, i.e. permitting non-standard base-pairing at the 3rd anti-codon position. Lineage: Eukaryota; Metazoa; Chordata; Mammalia; Carnivora; Felidae. The record is from Rfam by way of RNAcentral. RNAcentral also lists the same sequence under 3 other names.